This 244-nucleotide long non-coding RNA is filed under the name Olea europaea (common olive). RNAcentral's name for it is "long non-coding RNA (OEUR_LNC001342)". The record is from RNAcentral. Lineage: Eukaryota; Viridiplantae; Streptophyta; Magnoliopsida; Lamiales; Oleaceae.
AAUAUUUUCUAGUAGGGAUGCUUUGGCAGCAUGUGACGUGGCAGUGUUUGUUCAUGACAGGUAGCUGAUAUGCCGUAUUGCCACUUGAAUGGAAUAAGAUAGGUGAUUGUUAAUGUUUGUGCCAUAUUGGUAAAAGUCGAUUGGUGGCAUAGUUGAUACUCCGUACUUACCACUGUAUGUUUUGGUGUAACUUGGUUUGGUGUUUUUAAAAUUUUUUAUAUGUAUUUAAUUUGGAAUUUUUUCC